GGUCGCCAUGGCCCGCGGAGUGCUGGUGUCUCGAUCGUCCCCCGGAGAGACGUCGUUCAACUCCGGUUCGAUCCGGUCGGCGUUCG
This 86-nucleotide transfer RNA is filed under the name Microbacterium sp. SA39. RNAcentral's name for it is "tRNA-Ser". Lineage: Bacteria; Bacillati; Actinomycetota; Actinomycetes; Micrococcales; Microbacteriaceae. The record is from RNAcentral.